CUUUAGUACCGGGUUACACCCCAAUUACAUCUCCCACUUAACCCAUUUUCUCAUAACGCAACUUUUUCUCAUAACCCGACUUUUCUCUGUAUGUAACUGACGAUCCCGACCAAAUAACAAACUACAGCAGCCUCGGAAUUUCAGAACUGCUAUCUUUGUUUUUCACAACCCCUGUUUGAUUUGAUCUCUGUUCUUGAACCUGAGUAAUUUCGUGUCUGUUAUUGUUCUCCUUGAAGAAUCAAAUAAACAAUCACCGUAAACAGGAGGGAAGUGGUUUCUUAAGAACAUAAUCUAUUUCGAGAAUCGCGAAGUCUGAGUAUUGGAGAAGUGGCUGAUUAGAGAAACGUUUCUUAAUUGAUCCAGCCAUCCAGGAUUCUCAAGGGUCGACUCAAUCGUCUGGUAUGAGCCAAAUACUUUAAUGAAACAUUAUUUUUUCUCUUCUUUUCAAUUCAGAUCUUAUGAAAAAACAGUGUUUAUAACAAAGCUUUGUGCUUCUGUAUCAAUGUAUGGCUGACUCCGUUUCAGUUUUUGUUGUACAUAUGUGUAUGCAAUGUGAAGAGAAAGCACAUUCUUCAUGCUCAUAUCAUUCCCUUGAUUUAUCUAACGAUGUCUACCUUUCAAGUAAGCUCAUUUACUUCUUUUACCGUGUUAAAGAUGUUGAUUCUGAUUGGUCUAUUUGUUGAUAUUUCUCACAUUCCUUCUUAUUUUGCUCCUAUGUGUUAUCUUUGUUGUCUAUUUUUUGAUAUUUUGUUGGAAUUAUUACUUAGUUUCUUACCACGUUAGAUGAAUUAUAUAUUGGCACCAGUAGAGUUCACCAGCAUCUGAAAAUUCUGAACCGUUAUGGCGUUGAAUUUUGUACACCGAUGACAAGCUACGACACUGCACUUACCAGUUCUGUUGAUAUCCACUGAAGCCCCAAGAGGGAAGUGGUUUCUUCAGAACAUAAUCUAUUUUGAGAAUCGCAAAGUCUCAGGUUUGGACAAGUGGGUAAUUAGAUUAACGUUUCUUAUUCAGUGGUACUAUUGGGCUUGCCCAAAAUGCAGGCUAGGAUCAGGCAUGGAUUCUUGGAUGAGAAGAAGUGGUGCUUCAGAUGCAAAUGGCAGGUCAAGGCAGUGAUACCUAGAAGAUCACAGUUGUGGACCAGCUGUUUUCUUAGCUUUUGGAGAAACUGUCGAGCAGAUCAUCGGAAUGAGAGUUAGGAAGCUUAUGGACAAUUCGGAGGAAAUGGCAAAGGAAAAUGAAGCCGAUAAUGUACCUAAAACACCGAAAAUGUGAACGGUAAAAACAUGCGUAUCCACAUCAAAAUUAAUUUUAAAACUUAUGGUUACAAAAUCUUCGCAAUCAAUAGAAUUUAUGAUGUGGACAUGGACCUGGAAAACCAAUAUAUGCUGCAACAACUAGCACAAGUAAACAAUGACAAGCAAAGAAACAACAAUGUACGUGACAAGGAAAACAGCACAAUCCAGAAGGAGGGACAAUCAUAUUUCCACUAAUUGCAGAUGAAAGAAAUCGAUGACAAAGAAACCAGCAAGAUUGUCAGUAAGGAUACAGAGAGUACAAUCCAGAUGGAAGAACAGCAAGUAAAUGAGACAUCAGCCAAGGAUGCUUCUCCACAAGCACGCACCACCACCAGGCUGUAGCAACAGCCAGGUACAAAAUUAGGCAACACACAAAAUUGAAUAGCGAAUGACGAGGUCCGGUGCAAAAAAAAUCGCAGCAGCAGAGAAGUACAAAAUUGAAUAACAAACGACGAGAUAACUACCCGGUGCGGAGCACGGGUUACUUCCUUACAAAAAGAAGAAGCGAAACGGAAAAUUAAAAAUUAAGUUUUGAUAAAGACUUUCGUUGUAAAAUAAGCCCGUGGUGUUAUUGGACGAAUUAUUGGUGGUGUGAAUAAACAGGAUGAUUUUAUUAGAUGAAUAAUACUCUAGUGGGGCCAAAAUCUGUAAGAAGAGAGCUUUGUUCAGCUUUUAACCACAACAGAGAAAAUUCACCUGAAAUCAUAUUA
Long non-coding RNA from Papaver somniferum (opium poppy), 2008 nucleotides. RefSeq lists it as uncharacterized. The transcript is spliced from 7 exons. NCBI's taxonomy places the organism in Eukaryota, Viridiplantae, Streptophyta, Magnoliopsida, Ranunculales, Papaveraceae. The record is from RefSeq and is a predicted model, not a curated record.